Lactuca sativa (garden lettuce) is the source of this 105-nucleotide small nucleolar RNA. RefSeq annotates it as small nucleolar RNA Z103. The record is from RefSeq and is a predicted model, not a curated record. Lineage: Eukaryota; Viridiplantae; Streptophyta; Magnoliopsida; Asterales; Asteraceae.
AUGGAUAUGAUGAAUAUUUCCCCAGAUGAUCGAAUUUGAAAUAACUGAGCGCAAUUUUAAUUUUUCUCCUUUCGGAGUAGAAUUCAAGCCAGAAAUCUGAUCCAU